Molecule: long non-coding RNA, 837 nt
Organism: Cebus imitator (Panamanian white-faced capuchin)
Lineage: Eukaryota; Metazoa; Chordata; Mammalia; Primates; Cebidae
Exons: 3
Source: RefSeq, a predicted model, not a curated record
UCCGCUUCAGCCGGCCUAGUGCUCUUCCCCCAGCUCGCAGAGUCCAGCUCCAUCCCUAAGAACCCUGGCCCCACAAAGCUCUCCCAGAAUAACCCCAACCCUGCGCCCUGGGCCCUCCUCCUAGAUCUUGAGCCCUCCGGGAAUGGAGAGUUCUGUUUUGGCAAGAGCAAUCUAGAAGAUCAUAGAAAGCUGGUCCAAAUGCUUCAUCUUACAUUUAAGGAAAGAGGUGCAGAAAGGGUAGGACUUGCCUGUCACACAGCUCUGUGGAGGAAGUUGGAUUUUGGGGCACUUCCCCUCAUUCUAGCUAACAGCCACUCUACCUGAAGCUCCUCUCAUUUCUCCUCACCAAUGGAUGGCACACUCACUGAAAACAGCAUUGUAAUACCUGACUCACUGCAGAAGGAUGCUUGGAGAUCCAGUACUACACUGUACUCUUUGCUUUGGAGCCUUUGAUCUACUCAAGAUCAUUGAGAGUGUAUGCCACUUUGGCCUAAGGAUUAUUUUGAGCUGAAGACAAUUAGGAAGAAGCAAAUAGGUACAGGGUACUAGAAAAGCAUUCUGCCUUCCCUUUAUUUGCCAAAAAGCAGGAUAUAAGUUUGCAAAGAUGUACCUCCUGCCUGCUCUAUCAGGAAGGACAAAGAUUAAUCACGAGAGACAAUCGUAGACCCUUGUCAGCCUGGAGACAACACAAGAAGAAUCUACAUGAUAAACUUUAGUGUCUAGCCUUUAUCUGCAACUAGUCUCCCAUAAAUUUGUCUUCCCACAAUUUGCUGCCCCUAGAGACUCAAGGUCCUUUAUCUUGUCAUUUCUCUAAAAAAUUUAUUGUUCCUUUGCUAA